RNAcentral lists this long non-coding RNA (1029 nucleotides) under Homo sapiens (human). RNAcentral describes it as "lncAB211.1". Lineage: Eukaryota; Metazoa; Chordata; Mammalia; Primates; Hominidae. The record is from RNAcentral.
UUGGGUGCCUGAGAGGUUGGGAGAGCACCCUGCUAAAGCAUCCUAUCUGGUAGGGAGGGGAGCUCUUGACAGACGGGUUGUUAGGGAGGGUGGUGAAAGCCACGCACAUCAAGGGGCUGGCUUGAUUGCCCUCUGGCCCCACAUCUAAGCUUCUGGGCUGUGACUGCCCCCAACCAAGUCCUCAGAGCCCAGCUUGGGACCCACCACCCGCCAUACUCCACGCUCCCAAGCCCUUACUCUGCUGUUCCAAGGGCCGACCUGCUGCCACAAAGUUCUCUUUCUAGACAGCCCGGUGUGAAUUCUCACUUCCUCCUGGGACUUCCUCCAGCAGGACUGUGGCUGUGGUGAGCAUUUCAGCAUCUGCUCAUCUGCUGUUCUGUCAUCUUUCUCUUCCUUGGUGUCUUCGAGGGCAGGCCAGGUGGAAUACGGCUUCCCAAAGACUCGAUUCAUUUUGGUUAGGUCUCUUGUAUUGCAUGGUCCCCGGCCCAUAGGCAUUGUUGAAAACAAAGUCGAGUUUGUUGUUUCCAGCUAAAGCAGCCCCUGCUUUAGUGUGGAGAUACUUGAGGAGUUAAAAGGAAACAGGAAAUACUACUGCUUUAUGGUUGGAAACCACUCAGAUGGAGGAGAAUUUGGGGAGGCUUCGGUUCCUGCAGCUGAGGCAGCCUUGGAGAAAACUGCACGUGAACUUUUGCCCUUUGAACAGGGCCGUUGUCCCGGCUUGAGGGUUCCAGAUGUGGUGGCAUCAGAUGGGUCUUUGAGGGGUGGGGCAGUCAGGGUGCCUCUAACAGUGUACUGGGUGUUGGCAAGACCUCGGGGGUGGAAAGUUAUGGAAGGAAUUGUUCAGACAGGGCCCAGUGAUGGGGUGUGGGCUAGAGUACCGUCUUUGAAGCCGCUUGGCAAGAGAAGUGGGGAUCACGUCUAGUGGAGAUGGCAGAUGAUGUACUGUGUAGCCAGCACUGGUGAGAGACUGUGCCCAUCCCGGGCCUGCCUUGUGACUUCGGGUGAUUUCCCGUCCCCUGUGAGCUGUAG